RNAcentral lists this ribosomal RNA (244 nucleotides) under uncultured Ochrobactrum sp. Its description in RNAcentral is "partial 16S ribosomal RNA". It matches the Rfam family "Bacterial small subunit ribosomal RNA", at positions 94 to 355 of the family's 1533-position model. Lineage: Bacteria; Pseudomonadati; Pseudomonadota; Alphaproteobacteria; Hyphomicrobiales; Brucellaceae. The record is from RNAcentral.
AGCGGCAGACGGGUGAGUAACGCGUGGGAACGUACCUUUUGCUACGGAAUAACUCAGGGAAACUUGUGCUAAUACCGUAUGUGCCCUUCGGGGAAAGAUUUAUCGGCAAAGGAUCGGCCCGCGGUGCAUUAGCUAGUUGGUAAGGUAAAGGCUUACCAAGGCGAUGAUGCAUAGCCGAGUUGAGAGACUGAUCGGCCACAUUGGGACUGAGACACGGCCCAAACUCCUACGGGAGGCAGCAGCC